Molecule: non-coding RNA, 28 nt
Filed under: Rattus norvegicus (Norway rat)
Lineage: Eukaryota; Metazoa; Chordata; Mammalia; Rodentia; Muridae
Source: RNAcentral
UNGUGCCCUGUCUUCUCGCUCAGAGCUU